Molecule: ribosomal RNA, 400 nt
Filed under: uncultured bacterium
Lineage: Bacteria
Description: bacterial SSU rRNA
Rfam family: Bacterial small subunit ribosomal RNA
Source: RNAcentral
AGUGAACGCUGGCGGCAGGCCUAAUACAUGCAAGUCGAACGGCAGCACAGUGGAGCUUGCUCCAUGGGUGGCGAGUGGCGGACGGGUGAGGAAUACAUGGGAAUCUGCCCAGUCGUGGGGAUAACGUAUGGAAACGUACGCUAAUACCGCAUGCGCCCUUCGGGGGAAAGUCGGGGACCGCAAGGCCUGACGCGAUUGGGAUGAGCCCAUGUUCGAUUAGCUAGUUGGCGGGUAACGGCCCACCAAGGCGACGAUCGAUAGCUGGUCUGAGAGGAUGAUCAGCCACACUGGAACUGAGACACGGUCCCAGACUCCUACGGGAGGCAGCAGUAGGAAUAUUGGACAAUGGGCGCAAGCCUGAUCCAGCCAUGCCGCGUGAGUGAAGAAGGCCCUCGGGUUC